GCAAGUCGAGGGGUAAGGUCCCGAUUUAUCGGGAUACACGACCGGCGCACGGGUGCGUAACGCGUAUGCAACCUACCCUUAACAGAGGGAUAGCCCCGAGAAAUCGGGAUUAAUACCUCAUAACACUGUGAUAUGGCAUCAUAUUACAGUUGAAACUCCGGUGGUUAAGGAUGGGCAUGCGUGACAUUAGCUAGUUGGUAAGGUAACGGCUUACCAAGGCUACGAUGUCUAGGGGUUCUGAGAGGAUGAUC
This 251-nucleotide ribosomal RNA is filed under the name uncultured bacterium. RNAcentral's name for it is "partial 16S ribosomal RNA". It matches the Rfam family "Bacterial small subunit ribosomal RNA", at positions 57 to 305 of the family's 1533-position model. The record is from RNAcentral.